UCCUCAAACAUCUACACGAAAACUUUCGAUGGGAUUGAUGUAGCUGGAAGAAGGUUUACCGAAAAGGUCUUGGACGUGGUUCAGAAGAUGCCCAGCUUGAAAAAUAUUUCCUUCAUAGUACAUUCUUUGGGUGGUCUGUUUGCCGGAUAUGCUAUUUCUAUACUAUAUUCACUGCAAGCAAAAGAAACUGGAAGCGGUGUUGGUGUCAUGCCGACAGUUGGAGGAUCUGAAAUAUCACACACUUCAGGAUUAGCUGACAUUGCUGGGUUGGAGCCACUUAAUUUUAUUACAUUGGCAACCCCACAUCUUGGUAUUAGAGGGAAAAAUCAGUGAGACACUUAUUUUGGGACGGAGGGAGUACAUAAACUUGCAGUACCUUUAGCUCCCUUCAUUGUCGGACGCUGUGGUGCCCAACUCUUUCUCACUGAUGGAGAACCUAGCAAGCCACCUCUUCUUCUACUAAUGACAUCUGAUCAUGAGGACAAAAAGUUUAUGUUAGUGAGGAGGGCAGAUUAUUAA
RNAcentral lists this ribosomal RNA (519 nucleotides) under Triticum aestivum (bread wheat). RNAcentral describes it as "partial small subunit ribosomal RNA". The record is from RNAcentral. Lineage: Eukaryota; Viridiplantae; Streptophyta; Magnoliopsida; Poales; Poaceae.